RNAcentral lists this ribosomal RNA (483 nucleotides) under uncultured bacterium. RNAcentral describes it as "partial 16S ribosomal RNA". It matches the Rfam family "Bacterial small subunit ribosomal RNA", at positions 28 to 506 of the family's 1533-position model. The record is from RNAcentral.
AUUGAACGCUGGCGGCAUGCUUUACACAUGCAAGUCGAACGGCAGCGCGGGCUUCGGCCUGGCGGCGAGUGGCGAACGGGUGAGUAAUGCAUCGGAACGUGCCCAGUAGUGGGGGAUAGCCCGGCGAAAGCCGGAUUAAUACCGCAUACGACCUGAGGGUGAAAGCGGGGGACCGAAAGGCCUCGCGCUAUUGGAGCGGCCGAUGUCGGUUUGGCUGGUUGGUGGGGUAAAGGCUUACCAAGGCGACGAUCCGUAGCUGGUCUGAGAGGACGACCAGCCACACUGGGACUGAGACCCGGCCCAGACUCCUCCGGGAGGCAGCAGUGGGGAAUUUUGGACAAUGGGGGCAACCCUGAUCCAGCCAUGCCGCGUGCGGGAAGAAGGCCUUCGGGUUGUAAACCGCUUUUGUUCGGGAAGAAAUCCUCUGGGCUAAUACCCCGGGGGGAUGACGGUACCGGAAGAAUAAGCACCGGCUAACUACGU